AUAAAGACCUGCUGAGUCUCUCGACAGGAGAUACUUGCACCUCACCAAGUGUCAGUGUCUCCUCAUUCUACCUCAUCCCCUUCCCCUCAGCCCUUAAGUUUCAGUUCUUUCGUUUUCGCCUAGGCCGUCUCAUCCUUUCAGGAACCCCUGACACGACGUUUUGCCGGAGGCUGUCCCCGGCAAGUGGCACCAGAACAGGGACUUGAACCCUGGACCCUCAGAUUAAAAGUCUGAUGCUCUACUGACUGAGCUAUCCGGGCCCACACAAGUCCGUACGGUGGAAGCAUUAACAGAAUGUCCAGGUUGGCGAAAAAGUACAGGUGAAUUGGCGGCAAGGAGGUGAAACAAGUCCGGGGAUGGCCAUGGGUGAUGGCAAGUCUGGUUUGACAGCCCUUUAGGGCCUCCCUGGUGGUGCAAGGGGUUAAGCAGUUUAUGAAGCUAUCCACAGCCACUGCUGCAUGAGUUCGAUCCCUACCCAAGAACUACCCACAUGGCACAGCAGACUUCUCCUGACUCGCCCGCUGCUCCCCUCAGCAGUGUACUUCAGUCAAUUCACCUGUUCUGUUCCCCACUCUGUCUCUGUCCUCUCACCCCCCAUACCCCUGACCUGUACCCCAGUUCUUGUAUGCAUAAAAUAAAUAUUUUUAAAAAAGAAAGUGGCAGCCCUUUAAUGAAAUGUUUUAUUAUAAAACUUUUCAAACAUACUACAAACUCAAGAAAAUUGAAUAAAGGACCUCCAUGUGCCCAUCCCCCAAAUUCAAUGGCUCUCAAUAGCAGAAUGGCAUUCCUUUUUAAAAUGUAAACUACAGGGCCUCCCCG
This is a long non-coding RNA of Talpa occidentalis (Iberian mole), 819 nucleotides long. RefSeq lists it as uncharacterized. The record is from RefSeq and is a predicted model, not a curated record. The transcript is spliced from 3 exons. NCBI's taxonomy places the organism in Eukaryota, Metazoa, Chordata, Mammalia, Eulipotyphla, Talpidae.